RNAcentral lists this long non-coding RNA (696 nucleotides) under Actinia tenebrosa (Australian red waratah sea anemone). RNAcentral describes it as "uncharacterized LOC116287500, transcript variant X2". The record is from RNAcentral. Lineage: Eukaryota; Metazoa; Cnidaria; Anthozoa; Actiniaria; Actiniidae.
AAUAGACGGCCAAGACUCUUGUGUACAUGUGCCCGUACAUAACUGAGCAGUUUGGGUGCUUCGUGAUAUUCAUGUAUGCAUGCCUUUACUGUCGCUGUUAGCAAAACCAACACAAUCUAAAGAUAAGGCGCACAAAGGCCGGCUGAAUCGCUACAAAACGAUCUUCCGUACGGGCAGAGAAAACAUUGUCUAUUGAUAGUCGCAUUCUGAGCGCGCGGCUUCCACAUCGGCCAUUACGUUUCUCUACUCCACAAGUUACGGACUCUAUUUGGAGAAAACGAAAUCUAAUUAUUAAAGAAAAAGGAUGUUUGAGGACGAUUAUAAGAGGUCUUACAGAAUUACCAAUUUAGUGCAAUUUGAUAGAGGAUGUUGCACCACAGAGCUAGACCUAAUUCUUGGCAUAAAAACCAUGCUUAUUAAUCAUGAUAUUAUUCAUGAAUUAGCUCGCAGGUAGAUAUUUGAGUUUUAGAAGCUUCAUGUGACUCCUUUUCAAACCAAAAGAAAGGAAGGAAGAGGCAACUGAAAUUCAGGAUAUCCCUGCCCACUUAUUUGAUAGCUUUGCUGUCUGUCUGUCUGUCUGUCUGUCUGUCUGUCGGUCGGUCUGUCGGUUGGUCUGUCUGAGUGAAGGAACAAAGAUUUCUUUCUAUGAUCCACAUUACAGAUGUUUAAAUAAAACUACAAAGAAAAUCAAACUAA